Molecule: long non-coding RNA, 127 nt
Organism: Amblyraja radiata (thorny skate)
Lineage: Eukaryota; Metazoa; Chordata; Chondrichthyes; Rajiformes; Rajidae
Exons: 3
Source: RefSeq, a predicted model, not a curated record
GAUAUGAUAGUGGCGUACAGGCACGGAACUCGCAAUCAAAAUAUGGCGGGGACCGGGGGACAGGGGGGACACAAUUUUUUGGUGGCCACGCGCGCAUGUGCACACUCACACACACGCGCGCGUGGCU